Molecule: ribosomal RNA, 560 nt
Filed under: Bacillus altitudinis
Lineage: Bacteria; Bacillati; Bacillota; Bacilli; Caryophanales; Bacillaceae
Description: bacterial SSU rRNA
Rfam family: Bacterial small subunit ribosomal RNA
Source: RNAcentral
UUGCAGUGCGGGUGCUAUACAUGCAGUCGAGCGGACAGAAGGGAGCUUGCUCCCGGAUGUUAGCGGCGGACGGGUGAGUAACACGUGGGUAACCUGCCUGUAAGACUGGGAUAACUCCGGGAAACCGGAGCUAAUACCGGAUAGUUCCUUGAACCGCAUGGUUCAAGGAUGAAAGACGGUUUCGGCUGUCACUUACAGAUGGACCCGCGGCGCAUUAGCUAGUUGGUGAGGUAACGGCUCACCAAGGCGACGAUGCGUAGCCGACCUGAGAGGGUGAUCGGCCACACUGGGACUGAGACACGGCCCAGACUCCUACGGGAGGCAGCAGUAGGGAAUCUUCCGCAAUGGACGAAAGUCUGACGGAGCAACGCCGCGUGAGUGAUGAAGGUUUUCGGAUCGUAAAGCUCUGUUGUUAGGGAAGAACAAGUGCAAGAGUAACUGCUUGCACCUUGACGGUACCUAACCAGAAAGCCACGGCUAACUACGUGCCAGCAGCCGCGGUAAUACGUAGGUGGCAAGCGUUGUCCGGAAUUAUUGGGCGUAAAGGGCUCGCAGGCGGU